AAAGAUGGCGGGGGAGGCCUCAGUGAGGGCAGGCUGAUUUAAUACCCGAACCCGCGGCGGACCGCGAAGACAGAGGUAGCGGCGCAGCCCCGACCAUGGAGGAGGGCAACAGCGCUGGCAGCGGUGGCAGCGACAGCAGCACCAGCGGGAGUGGCGGGGCGCAGCAAAGGGAGCUGGAGCGCAUGGCUGAGGUCCUGGUCACCGGAGAGCAGCUACGGCUCAGGCUGCAUGAAGAAAAGGUUAUUAAAGAUAGGCGACAUCAUCUCAAAACCUACCCAAACUGUUUUGUUGCGAAAGAACUGAUUGACUGGUUGAUUGAACACAAAGAGGCUUCUGACAGAGAGACGGCGAUUAAACUCAUGCAGAAAUUAGCAGACCGGGGCAUUAUUCAUCACGUGUGUGACGAGCAUAAGGAAUUCAAGGACGUCAAACUCUUCUAUCGCUUUAGAAAGGACGAUGGCACCUUCCCACUGGACAACGAAGUGAAGGCCUUCGUGAGAGGACAGAGGCUGUAUGAGAAGCUGAUGAGCCCUGAAAACACACUCCUGCAGCCCAGGGAAGAGGAAGGGGUCAAGUACGAGCGCACCUUCAUGGCGUCUGAAUUCCUGGAUUGGCUGGUUCAGGAGGGUGAGGCCACCACAAGGAAAGAGGCGGAACAGCUCUGCCACCGGCUUAUGGAGCACAGCAUCAUACAGCACGUGUCCAACAAGCACCCGUUUGUGGACAGCAAUCUUCUCUACCAGUUCAGAAUGAACUUCCGGCGGAGGCGAAGACUGAUGGAGCUGCUCAAUGAAAAAUCCCCCUCCUCCCAGGAAACUCAUGACAGCCCCUUCUGCCUGAGGAAGCAGAGCCAUGACAAUCGGAAAUCUACCAGUUUUAUGUCAGUCAGCCCCAGCAAGGAGGUCAAGAUCGUGUCUGCCAUGCGGAGAAGCAGCAUGAGCAGCUGCGGCGGCAGCGGCUACUUCAGCAGCAGCCCCCCCGCCAGCGGCAGCCCCCCCGUGCUCUGCAACCCCAAGUCUGUGUUAAAAAGACCCGUCACUUCUGAGGAACUCCUGACUCCCGGGGCUCCGUAUGCGAGGAAGACAUUCACGAUUGUUGGUGACGCAGUAGGCUGGGGCUUUGUGGUGCGAGGCAGUAAGCCAUGCCACAUCCAGGCCGUGGAUCCCAGUGGCCCAGCAGCCGCUGCAGGAAUGAAGGUUAUUACAGAAUAUUGAGCAGAGUUCCCUGUGCUAUACAGUAGGUCCUUGAGAGCCUGCAUACCGCAAACUGCAGAGCCCACACGCCCUGGAGCCCGCGCGCCACAACUAGAGAGAAGCCUGCGCACCACAAUGAAGAGCCCGUGCUGCAACGAAAGAUCCCACAUGCCUCAAAGAAGAACCCACGUGCUGCAACUAAGACCCGAUGCAGCCAAAAAAAAGAAAAAUAGAAGAAAAAAAAAAAGACUGGCUUAUAUCCAGUUGGAAGUGAAACAGUUAAGAGUAAAUCCUAGUUUUAGCCAAUCAGGUUAUUUUACUGGUUUUACACAGGAAAUGUCAUAGUGUCCAUGUUUCUGCUUAAAGAGAAAACAAAACCAAUCAGAACGUUGCUUUAUUUUAACACAAUUAGUCAGGCUCUCAUCACAGGAAGCAAACUCUAAUCACUCUAAUCACCCACUGAUACAGCAGGAACAGAUUAUUGAUCUGGCUGAAGAGGGGCAGACCCGCAGUGACUGAACUGAGCAGGUAUCCAGAGUGCUGCAGUAUUUAGCAAACAAAGAAAAGCCACCCCUUGGAUCAUGGAUGUUAUGGUUAGGAAACCCCCAGUACCUCGGACAUUAUGAAACAACAACUGAGUUUGUAGGAAACAGACUGAACCCACACCCUAGAAUGAGAAUUAUUUACAUUCUACAAUUAACAUUCUAUAAUUAUAUGGCUCAAACUCCAUAUAUGGCUCUCACAACAGUGAGAAGCCCGCGUAACACAAAAAAAAAAAAAAGAAAGAAAGAAAGAAAAGGAGUCCUCAAAUCUGGAAGCUUCUCCCACCCAGCCUAUAGCCUGGGGUUGUCUUUGUGCUCACAGCUUCCCAGUGAGUCAGAAGAUAUCUGAAUGCUUGGAUCUGCCUGACGUUUUGCUGUUUAUUUAGGACAAGACCAAGCCAAGAGUCACAUCAUUUAAAACACGUGAAAAGAGAAUCCAGCCCACAAACUGGGUGGAGAGUUGGACGUGAACUGUGAAGAGAGCGAGAGGGAAGGGCGGGUCUCGGACUUGGCGGAUUUCGGUUGGGUGUGGAUUCUGUGUUUGCGAGAGAAGAUGCAGCAGGGUCUUUCUGCAAUGAGAAGCCCCAUAACAGAAAUUAAGUAGACAAUAAUUACUGUAAGAGCUCAAAGGAGGGAAAGGCAAUUCUGCCUGCGAUGGACUUCACCAAAAAUCAAGAAUGGCUUCUUCAUCACAAAAACAAUACUGGAGGUAAGAAAUUAGGGAGCAAUACCUUUAAAUUUUUGAAGGAAAAUAAUUUCUAAGCUAGAAUUCUAUGCACAGCCAAACUAGUAAUGAAAUUUGAGCAUAAAGACAUACAAGGUCUCAAAAAUGUAUCGAUUUCCCGCCCCCCAUGCCCUUGUCUUAGGAUACCACUAGAGGAUGUCCUUCCUCAGAAUGAGGGCAUAUUUAUCAUCAUCUCAUUAUCUAUAUGAGAUGAUGGAUGUUCACUAAACUUAUUGUGGUAAUCACUUCAUGACAUAUGUAAGUCAAAUCAUUAUGCUGUAUGCCUUAAACUUAUACAGUGCUGUAUGUCAAUUAUAUCUCAGUAAAACUGAAAGAAAAAAAUUAAAACAACAAAAAAGAGGGAGUAAAAUUCAAUCUAGGAAGAUGUGCAAAAUUGAAAACAAGGUAUCCAGCAGAGGAGAGAACCCCCAGAAUAAUGACUGUGGUGUAGAUAAUUCAUAAUUCAGCUGUAAAGGGCAGCCACCCAGAUGGAAGCAGCAAGACUCAGGAGACAAGCUGUUUGGAGCUGUCAGCACCGUGCCUGCUGCUGUGGAACCAUCUUUUAACCAGAGAAAACUCCUGGAGAAAGUAUCAACCCAAACAAGGGAAUAUACUAAGAAAGAGGAAGGUAUGAUAUCCAGGAAGUAGGGAAGCCAAUCUUGGAGAAAGACAGAAGGAAUUCCAAGUUUGGUAGAAAACAAAGGCCAGGAUGACAACCGAGCAGCAGGUCUAAAGGAAAACCUGCCUGGAGAAGAGGGAUGUUUAAAAAUAUUUUUACCUGAUAUCAGUGACUUUUGGACAUUGCACGGAGACGUUAUUGGAAGUAGUUGGAAAGAUUAGCAAUAAGCAAAAAUCAAAUAAAGCAAAGGAAAAAGCAAGACAAUUAUUAACUUUAGAGAAAACCUAAAAGUAGAAGUAAAAAUGAUCAUAAUACAUUAUGAUGCUUUUAUGUGAAUAUUUGCAAAGCAUAGGAAUGGAAACACUGAAUAUGGAGGUGAACAUCAUAUGGGGAAGAUAAAAGAGGAGAAAAGGGAUGGCAGCCUGAAAGAGCUACAUCCUCUUCUACCAUAACAGGAAAUAUAGAAAUGAUGUUUAAAAUUGAUUAUUAAACACAUAGCAGUACCUACAUUAUAUUGAGAAAUAUGGAGAUUUGAAAAUGUCAAAGAAAAACUGCUAAAAGAGUCAAAGGUGAUUACUUCUGGUGAGCAGAAGUAAUAUUUUUUUAACAAGUUUUUAGUAUUAAAUUUUAAAAUUACAUAUAUAAAUUAUUUUAGUAAAAUGGUAUAAAAAAAUUAAGUGUCCAUGUGGGCUUUCACAAAAGUUUGGUAUCCAAACGACUCUCAGUAAAGAUUCUUCUUCUUCUGUGGUAUUAUUGUUAUUGGAAAGAGUCUUGACUUAUUGUCAGAUGCUGUUGAAUCUCAUAAUAUCUGCCACUGAUGCUUUCUGGGGAUUUAAUGCAUGGGAUCUCAGUUUCUUCAUUUGUAAAGUGAAGGGGUUACCAUAUAUAUAUAUGUAUAUGUAUAUAUGUAUAAAAUCUCUUAGGCCUGCUCCAGCCCUAUUAUGUUAUGAACAGGACCUAUUAUGCAACAUGCAUACACUGACAGGUUGCAGUCACACAUGCGAAACUUGGCUGUUUUUUUGUUUUUUGUUUUUUUUGGUACGCGGGCCUCUCUCUCACUGUUGUGGCCUCUCCCGUUGCGGAGCACACGCUCCGGAUGCGCAGGCUCAGCGGCCAUGGCUCACGGGCCUAGCCGCUCCGCGGCAUGUGGGAAUCUUCUCGGACCGGGGCACGAACCCGUGUCCCCUGCAUCGGCAGGCGGACUCUCAACCACUGCGCCACCAGGGAAGCCCUUGGCUGCUUUUAAAGUCCUGACUUUGAUCUACGCCAUGGAGCCGAGAAGAUGAGGAAUGUCUUAAUCACUGGUUCAAGAACAUGAAAGGUGAUUGUGAGACAAAGAGGGGAUUCCAGCACCAGGAAGGACAUUUUAAGACAAUAUGAUUUCAACCUCUGGAAUGAGUCUUACCUUGCAGAGCUGAUAUAUUUAAAAUGGGAUGAUGUACUUGAAUGCUCUUUGUAAAGUGAAAAUCCUAUACAA
Lagenorhynchus albirostris (white-beaked dolphin) is the source of this 4555-nucleotide RNA transcript. It is a transcript of the gene named DEP domain containing MTOR interacting protein, with no coding region annotated. The transcript has 11 exons. The record is from RefSeq and is a predicted model, not a curated record. Lineage: Eukaryota; Metazoa; Chordata; Mammalia; Artiodactyla; Delphinidae.